RNAcentral lists this long non-coding RNA (1120 nucleotides) under Sander lucioperca (pikeperch). RNAcentral's name for it is "lncRNA (ENSSLUG00000007703.1)". Lineage: Eukaryota; Metazoa; Chordata; Actinopteri; Perciformes; Percidae. The record is from RNAcentral.
GGAGCAGCAGGCCUAACAGUUAGGUCACAUCCACACGCUGCUGCCCACAUGGCCACCUGUCUUAAAUGAGAAGGCUCGGCCCCUAACAGUCAUGUGAAAGGAGAAACGGUGAAAAUUUACUUUUCUAUCAAGCAGAAGUCUUCACCCUGAACCCUGAACCCUUCCCUACCCCUGGACCCGUUCUCCUGUCCUCGUCCCCGUGUGGAAACAUGUCCCGACUGCAGACUCUGAAGGUCCUCAUCAACCAGCGGCUCACUGCGGCUCUCGAGGACAUAUUUGGACAUUUGGAGAGAACAAUCGGCGAGUACGAAGCGGAGAUGGACCGCCGCCAUCACAAGCUGCUCGCUGUUGGUGGUUAAAGAAGAGCAGCAGGAGUGUAGCUCCAGUGUGGACCAGCAGGAGCCAGAGCCCCCCCCCCACACAUUAAAGAGGAACAGGAGGAACUGUGGAGCAGUCAGGAGGGAGAGCAGCUUCAAGGGCUGGAGGAGGCUGAUAUCACCAAGUUCCCAUUCACUCCUGUCCCUGUGAAGAGUGAGAUGAAGAGGAAGCUCAGUCCUCACAGCUUCAUCAAAGAUGUAAGAAAACAUUCAGCUGCUCUGAGUGUGGGAAAAGAUUUAGCUUCAAGUCAAAUCUGAAGAGACACAUGCAAACUGACACAGGAGAUAAACCAUUCAGUUGAUUAGUUUGUGAUCAAAGAUUUUUUCAAAAAGCACAUGUGAAUAAACACAUGAGAAUCCACAGGGGAUAAAAGUCACUCAGCUGCUCUGAGUGAGACAAGAUUUUCACAAACGAGAUAUUUGAGAGAGGAGAGAACCGAUUCAGCUGCAGAGUUUGUCACAAACGAUUUGCCUGAUGUUCAAUGGGCGAAACACAUGAAUGUUUUCUCAGUCAGGUUUAAACUCUCUGAAACAUGAUUUACUGGUGAAAUAUAUUAUUAAUAUUAUUGGUAUUUAGGGGUGCAACUAAUGACGUAACUUUGAGUUUGGUUACAUUUUUAAUAAACCAUUUCAUUUGGACCAUAUAGCCUUAACAAAAACAAUCGUUCGUUAAAGCGUAACUCUCGCCAAAAUGCAACCUAGGGUCUUCUUGUGAAUGUACCCGAGUCAAACGUUCGUUUUAA